GUUCAUGUAGCUUAACUCAAAGCAAGGCACUGAAAAUGCCUAGACGGGUCCAUAUAUAACCCCAUAAACA
Molecule: transfer RNA, 70 nt
Filed under: Sturnira tildae (Tilda yellow-shouldered bat)
Lineage: Eukaryota; Metazoa; Chordata; Mammalia; Chiroptera; Phyllostomidae
Description: transfer RNA-Phe
Rfam family: tRNA
About the family: Transfer RNA (tRNA) molecules are approximately 80 nucleotides in length. Their secondary structure includes four short double-helical elements and three loops (D, anti-codon, and T loops). Further hydrogen bonds mediate the characteristic L-shaped molecular structure. tRNAs have two regions of fundamental functional importance: the anti-codon, which is responsible for specific mRNA codon recognition, and the 3' end, to which the tRNAs corresponding amino acid is attached (by aminoacyl-tRNA synthetases). tRNAs cope with the degeneracy of the genetic code in two manners: having more than one tRNA (with a specific anti-codon) for a particular amino acid; and 'wobble' base-pairing, i.e. permitting non-standard base-pairing at the 3rd anti-codon position.
Source: RNAcentral